AGAGUUUGAUCAGUGGCUACAGAACGAACGCUGGCGGCAUGCCUAACACAUGCAAGUCGAACGAGACCUUCGGGUCUAGUGGCGCACGGGUGCGUAACGCGUGGGAAUCUGCCCUUGGGUUCGGAAUAACAGCGAGAAAUUGCUGCUAAUACCGGAUGAUGACGUAAGUCCAAAGAUAUAUCGGCGAAGGAUCGGCCCGCGUUGGAUUAGCUAGUUGGCGGUGUAAUGGACCACCAAGGCUACGAUCCAUAGCUGGUCUGAGAGGACGACCAGCCACACUGGGACUGAGACACGGCCCAGACUCCUACGGGAGGCAGCAGUGGGGAAUCUUGGACAAUGGGCGCAAGCCUGAUCCAGCCAUGCCGCGUGAGUGAAGAAGGCCUUAGGGUUGUAAAACUCUUUCGCCGGUGAAGAUAAUGACGGUAACCGGAGAAGAAGCCCCGGCGAACUUCGUG
Molecule: ribosomal RNA, 455 nt
Filed under: uncultured bacterium
Lineage: Bacteria
Description: bacterial SSU rRNA
Rfam family: Bacterial small subunit ribosomal RNA
Source: RNAcentral